Molecule: small nuclear RNA, 72 nt
Filed under: Cervus hanglu yarkandensis (Yarkand deer)
Lineage: Eukaryota; Metazoa; Chordata; Mammalia; Artiodactyla; Cervidae
Description: U2 spliceosomal RNA (ENSCHYG00000019597.1)
Source: Rfam by way of RNAcentral
AUCGCUUCUUGGCCUUUUGGCUAAGAUCAAGUGUAGUAUCAAAUCGUGUCUCUGCUAGCCACGUGACCUAUC